This 1157-nucleotide ribosomal RNA is filed under the name Salmonella enterica subsp. enterica serovar Mikawasima. RNAcentral's name for it is "partial 23S ribosomal RNA". It matches the Rfam family "Bacterial large subunit ribosomal RNA", at positions 1 to 1190 of the family's 2925-position model. The record is from RNAcentral. Lineage: Bacteria; Pseudomonadati; Pseudomonadota; Gammaproteobacteria; Enterobacterales; Enterobacteriaceae.
GGGUUGUGAGGUUAAGCGACUAAGCGUACACGGUGGAUGCCCUGGCAGUCAGAGGCGAUGAAGGACGUGCUAAUCUGCGAUAAGCGCCGGUAAGGUGAUAUGAACCGUUAUAACCGGCGAUUUCCGAAUGGGGAAACCCAGUGUGAUUCGUCACACUAUCAUUAACUGAAUCCAUAGGUUAAUGAGGCGAACCGGGGGAACUGAAACAUCUAAGUACCCCGAGGAAAAGAAAUCAACCGAGAUUCCCCCAGUAGCGGCGAGCGAACGGGGAGGAGCCCAGAGCCUGAAUCAGCAUGUGUGUUAGUGGAAGCGUCUGGAAAGGCGCGCGAUACAGGGUGACAGCCCCGUACACAAAAGCGCAUGUGCUGUGAGCUCGAUGAGUAGGGCGGGACACGUGGUAUCCUGUCUGAAUAUGGGGGGACCAUCCUCCAAGGCUAAAUACUCCUGACUGACCGAUAGUGAACCAGUACCGUGAGGGAAAGGCGAAAAGAACCCCGGCGAGGGGAGUGAAAAAGAACCUGAAACCGUGUACGUACAAGCAGUGGGAGCACCCUUUGGGGUGUGACUGCGUACCUUUUGUAUAAUGGGUCAGCGACUUAUAUUCUGUAGCAAGGUUAACCGAAUAGGGGAGCCGGAGGGAAACCGAGUCUUAACCGGGCGUUAAGUUGCAGGGUAUAGACCCGAAACCCGGUGAUCUAGCCAUGGGCAGGUUGAAGGUUGGGUAACACUAACUGGAGGACCGAACCGACUAAUGUUGAAAAAUUAGCGGAUGACCUGUGGCUGGGGGUGAAAGGCCAAUCAAACCGGGAGAUAGCUGGUUCUCCCCGAAAGCUAUUUAGGUAGCGCCUCGUGAAUUCAUCUCCGGGGGUAGAGCACUGUUUCGGCUAGGGGGCCAUCCCGGCUUACCAACCCGAUGCAAACUGCGAAUACCGGAGAAUGUUAUCACGGGAGACACACGGCGGGUGCUAACGUCCGUCGUGAAGAGGGAAACAACCCAGACCGCCAGCUAAGGUCCCAAAGUCAUGGUUAAGUGGGAAACGAUGUGGGAAGGCCCAGACAGCCAGGAUGUUGGCUUAGAAGCAGCCAUCAUUUAAAGAAAGCGUAAUAGCUCACUGGUCGAGUCGGCCUGCGCGGAAGAUGUAACGGGGCUAAACCAU